AAUCAACGCUGGCGGCGUGCCUCAGACAUGCAAGUCGAACGCGAAAGUCCCCUUCGGGGGAGUAAGUAGAGUGGCGCACGGGUGAGUAACACGUAGGUAAUCUACCUUCGGGUGGGGAAGUAACCCAGGGAAACUUGGGCUAACACCGCAUAAUGCAGCGGCACCACAUGGUGACAGUUGUUAAAGCGGGGGAGUUUUCGGUACCUCGCGCCUGAAGAGGAGCCUGCGGCAGAUUAGCUUGUCGGUAAGGUAACGGCUUACCAAGGCGACGAUCUGUAGCCGGCCUGAGAGGGCGGUCGGCCACACUGACACUGACAUACGGGUCAGACUCCUACGGGAGGCAGCAGUCGGGAAUUUUGGG
This 361-nucleotide ribosomal RNA is filed under the name uncultured bacterium. RNAcentral's name for it is "bacterial SSU rRNA". It matches the Rfam family "Bacterial small subunit ribosomal RNA", at positions 32 to 368 of the family's 1533-position model. The record is from RNAcentral.